RNAcentral lists this non-coding RNA (29 nucleotides) under Mus musculus (house mouse). The record is from RNAcentral. Lineage: Eukaryota; Metazoa; Chordata; Mammalia; Rodentia; Muridae.
UCAGAUGUCCCUAUUAACUUGAUGGCGAU